Molecule: long non-coding RNA, 6046 nt
Filed under: Fragaria vesca (wild strawberry)
Lineage: Eukaryota; Viridiplantae; Streptophyta; Magnoliopsida; Rosales; Rosaceae
Description: long non-coding RNA (FVES_LNC001809)
Source: RNAcentral
UGGACUGAGGUAUGUUUUUCAUUUAUACUAGAGAAUUUGAAUGGUAAUGAGUGGCAUGGGCAUUAACUUCAUUGAAAUUUAUGCAUCGCAGUAUAACUCAAAAGAGGUUCGCAAAGAGCUAACCUUGAAAUUCAUAAGGAAUGGAUACAACAGCAGAUGACAAAUGAUGUGUAGAAACAUAAAAAAAAGAUUAAAGAAUAAGAAACUGGAAAACAAGAUUGAAGAGCCUCAGAACAAUCAAGAGACUGAGAAGCGCGGAAAGAAUGUACAAGUCCUGAAGCAAGUGAAGAUUGAACCAACUGAGAGCAACACAAACGGAAAACCACAAGUGCACAGAACUGUAAAACCUCGCAACAGAACCGUAAAACCUCGCACCAGAAAGAGUAAUGUCCAAAGUGUCCGCUGUAGCCGUUGGUAGAACCUAUGUCCCCUUAUUGUAAAACCUCAUGCUCUCACAUGCGAUGUGUACUAUAUUACUAUGUAUUAACUACUUUAUUAUGUGUACAUUAUUCACAUGAGAUGUGUACUUUAUUACGACAUAUUAACUACUUUAUUAUGUGUACUUUCUUGAGAGGUCUACCUGUUUAAGAAACCUUGUCUGCUUAUUUACGAGUGAGGGUCUACUUUUAUUGUUACACAAAAUAGUCUACCUGUUAACGAAGCUUGGUUUGCUUAUUUACGAGUACGGGUCUACUUUUUCUGGUGAGACAAAAUGGUCUACAUGUUUACGAACAACUAACCUACCUGUUUUGUGAACGUGGUGUAUCAGCGCUUCAAACGAUUGACUCACCCUACGAGUAGACCAAGAAUAAAGUGUCCAGAAUUCAACGACAUUUAAAGAAUUCUUGAUAGGUCUACCUAUUUACGAAGCCUGGUCUGCUUAUUUACGAGUACAGGUCUACUUUUUUUGUGAGACAAAAUGGUCUACCUGUUUACGAACACUAACCUACCUGUUUUGUUGACGUGGUGUACCAGCGUUUCGAACCACUGACUCACAGUACGAGUAGACCAACUCUAAAGUGUCCAGAAUUCACAGACACUUAAACAAUUUUUGAUAGGUCUACCUGUUUAUGAAGCCUGUUCUACUUAUUUACGUGUACGGGUCUCCUUUUUUUUUAAACUAAAAUGGUCUACCUGUUUACGAACACAAACGUACCUGUUUUGUGAAUGUGGUGUACCAGCGUUUCGAACCACAGACUCACAGUACGAGUAGACUAACUCUAAAGUGUCCAGAAUUUACAGACACUUAAACAAUUUUUGAUAGGUCUACCUGUUUAUAAACAAUGUUCUGCUUAUUUACGAGUACGGGUCUCUUUUUUUAUGUGAGACAAAAUGGUCUACUUGUUUACGAACACUAACCUAUCUAUUUUGUGAACGUGGUGUAUCAGCGCUUCGAACCAUUAACUCACACUACGUGUAGACCAACUCUAAAGUGUCCAGAAUUCACACACUUGCAGAAUUAUUGAUAGGUCCACCUGUUUAAGAAGUCUGGUCUAUUUAUUUAUGAGUACGGGUCUACUUUUUUUGUGAGACAAAAUGGUCUACCUGUUUACGAACAGUAACCUACCUGUUCUGUGAACGUGGCGUAACAGUUCUUCGAACCACUGACUCAAACUACAACUAGACCAAGAAUAAAGUGUUCAGAAUUCACAGACACUUGAAUAAUUCUUGAGAGGUCUACCUGUUUACGAAGCCUGGUCUGCUUAUUUACUAGUACGGGUCUACUUUUUUUGUGAGACAAAAUGGUUUACCUGUUUACGAACACUAACAUAUCUGUUUUGUGAACGUGGUGUACCAGCGCUACAAACCACUGACUAACACUACGAGUAGACCAACUCUAAAGUGUCCAGAAUUCAUAGACACUUGAAGAAUUCUUGAUAGGUCUACCUGUUUACCAUGCCUGGUCUACUUAUUUACGAGUACGAGUCUCAUUUUUUAUGUGAGAAAAAUGGUCUACCUGUUUACGAACACUAACCUACCUGCUUUGUGAACGUGGUGUACCACUUCUUCGUACCUACGAGUAGACCAAGAAUAUAGUGUCCAAGAUUCACAGACACUUGAAGAAUUCUUGAGAGGUCUACCCGUUUUUGAAGCUUGGUCUGCUUCUUUACGAGUACGGGUCUCCUUUUUUUUGUGAGACAAAAUGGUCUACCUUUUUACAAACACUAACCUACCUGUUUUGUUGACGUGGUGUAGCAGCGCUUCGAACCACUGACUCACACUACGAGUAGACCAACUCUAAAGUGUCCAGAAUUCACAGACACUUAAACAAUUUUUGAUAGGUCUACCUGUUUAGGAAGCCUGUUCUACUUAUUUACGUGUACGGGUCUCCGUUAUUUUUUUGAGACAAAAUGGUCUACUUGUUUACGAACACUAACCUACCUGUUUGGUGAACGUGGUAUACCAGUUCUUCGUACCUCUGACUCACACUACGAGUAGACCAAAAAUAAAGUGUCCAGAAUUCAUAGACACUUGAAGAAUUCUUGAGAGGUCUACCUGUUUACGAAGUCUGGUCUGCUUAUUUACGAGUACGGGUUACCUUUUGUUAGUGAGACAAAAUUGUCUACUUGUUUACAAACACUAACCUACCUGUUUUGUGAACGUGGUGUAUCAGCGACACUAACCUAGUAGACCAAGAAUAAAGUGUCCAAAAUUCAACGACAUUUAAAGAAUUCUUGAUAGGUCUACCUGUUUACGAAGCCUAGUCUGGUUAUUUAUGAGUAAGUGUCUAUUUUUUUGUGAGACAACAUAGUCUACCUGUUUAUGAACACAAACCUAUUUGUUUUGUGAACAUGGUGUACCAGCGCUUCGAACCACUGACUCACAGUACGAGUAGACCAACUCUAAAGUGUCCAGAAUUCAAAGACACUUAAAGAAUUCUUGAUAGGUCUACCUGUUUACCAUGCCUGGUCUGCUUAUUUACGAGUACGGGUCAACUUUUUUUGUGAGCCAAAAUGGUCUACCUGUUUAUGAACACUAACCUACAUGUUUUGUGAACGUGGUGUAUCAACGCUUCGAACCACUGAUUCACACUAUGAAUAGACCAAGAAUAAAGUGUCCAGAAUUCAACGAUAUUUAAAGAAUUCUUGAUAGUUCUACCUGUUUACGAAGUCUAGUCUGGUUAUUUACGAGUACGGGUCUACUUUUUUUAUGAGACAAAAUGGUCUACCUGUUUAUGAACGUGAUGUACCAGCGCUUCGAACCACUGACUCACAGUAUGAGUAGACAAACUCUAAAGUGUCCAGAAUUCGAAGACACUUGAAGAAUUCUUGAUAGGUCUACCUGUUUACCAAUCCUGGUCUACCUAUUUACGAGUACGGGUCUACUUUUUUUGUGAGACAAAAUGGUCUACUUUGUUUACGAACACUAACCUACCUGUUUUGUGAACGUGGUGUACUAGCGCUUCGAAUCACUGACUCACACUACGAGUAGACCAACUCUAAAGUGUUCAGAAUUCACAGACACUUGAAGAAUUCUUUAGAGGUUUACCUGUUUACGAAGCCUGGUCUGCUUAUUUACGAGUACGGGUCUACUUUUUUUGUGAGACAAAAUGGUCUACCUGUUUAUGUACAUUAACCUACCAGUUUGGUAAACGUGGUGUACAAGGUUUACGAAUAUUAACCUACCUAUUUUGUUUGUUUACAUGGUGUACAUUAUCCUCCAUCAUACAUUCUGGAAAUCAAAACCAAGGCAAGGUAGAGGUCCUAACAGUUCCUAGUUGUUAAACGAAAAACAUAAUACACAUAAUAUCAUAUGGUGCUAUUUUUACAAACACAUGUGUCACACCCCAAUUUUGGUAAUUUUUUUUUUUGAGGUGUAACUCGUAUUCUAACUAUGAAAUAGAUUUUUCAUAAUUAGAAUAUGAAAGAAAUUAGAAAAGAAUAACUCAAUAAUAAACUGAAAUUUAUUCUUUAUUACAAGGGACUCCAAAAAGUAACAUUACAAAGGUAGACUAAAUUCUACGUCUUAUUCUAAAGGAAACAACACCACAUAUAUUUCACAUGUAAAUAAAAGAUUUUUGCAAGAAACCAACUUCAAACUACUUAUUCCUCAUCUGCAAAAUAUUUAAAGGGGUAAUCAUAAUAAGCCCAGUAAGAGUCAAAAACCUCUUCAAACAAAACAUAUCAUAAACAACUUUAACAAAAUGAAUGAAUGCAUAUACUAUAUACUUCAUAUAGUCCAUAUAACCGAAUAUACUAAGUCUACAUGUCCAAUACCAUGUACUUUACCACAAGGGUGACUUAGGAUACUCAUUUAUAUGAACUAUCUCCCACUCAAUCUCAAAUUCCCCUUUUGCUAGUUAUCUUGUCCAUUCCUCUUUCGCCAAACCCGCCAUUUUCACCUAUACUAAUUGCACUAUUCUUACGCAUUCACACGGGCAUCAUAGGAUAUGGUACCUCCGAGGACGAGGACUCAACUACACAAAAGUUUCAAUCCUAACUUCUUUACCCAAAGUGCUUUAUGCAUAGCACUACCAUUCCUCAUAUACCUUAGAUGAUAACAUCACCCUUAUAAAUCUAAACAAACAUAUAGAUGAUUGGCAACAAAGUCGGGUUCCAUUCUUCGCCGCCUCUGACCAAAAAAUCCCAUCCCUUCCCUUAAUCCACGAAAUCCACCUCUCAAUCCUACUUGCUCAGAAAGAUCCAUACUUGCAUGUUGCUGCAAUCACGAUAAUCUAUCUCUCGAUCAAUCAUUUGGAUCAAACAUGCCACAUAAAAGGGCCAUAAAUGGAAGAAACAUCCAAGAGGAGCGAGAAAUGGCUAUGAGACGGAGAGAAGCAUUUUUACUAGAAACGAUCAAGCGAAAUCUUCAGGCUAAAUAUGAGUCAAUUAAUACAUUUGCCCCUAUUGACGCCUCACCUUAAUGUUGCCGAGGUUGAUCCUUCUCCGUCUGUGAAAGAUCAAACUGCGCAUGAAGUCACAGGUAAGAUGGACAAAAUCCUGAAUCUAAUGACCUCUCUAAUUUCUCAAACACAGUAUGCGGAAGAGCCUCCCCAAGCAUCCCCGACGAAGAAAUUGAGGCCCACCUGAGAAGGACUGAUGUGAUGAUGGUUUAUGAAUGUAAGUCAGAUUUAGGAUGUUAAAUGUAGAUUAGUACUCUUAAGUUGUACGGUUCCCAUUUUGUAGAGCUUGUGUGUUCCUUUGAGGAUCUUGGUGUUACUAGUAGUACUAUAACUUGUAUAUGAUCGAUCCCAUGAUCGAUUGCCAAAUCCUGUUUUGGAAAACAUUUACUUUGUUGAAAUGCCAAGUCUACUAGUUUUAUGCCAAGGUCUACUAGUUUUAUGUAGAAGUAGAUUUCCUGAAGUAUUAUAACAAAGUAGAGUAUGCAUUCAAACCCCAGACCGACAUUAAUAACGAAAAGAUACUACAAUUUGAUAAGAUAAGAAAACGCAUCCAACAUUCAUUUUUCCUUGUGCUUAUGCACUUACAUACCAACAAAAAAAUAAAUAAGUACUUGAUAACACAUAAGCAAUUAAUACUCCCACAAACGUCUACAUUCGCUGGUGAAUGCUUGAUUCUGGAUCUUUGCAAGCCACGUUGAUGCGCACACAACCACGUCUGUUAAAUAUGGGGGGAGGUGCAUCCCUUAUGGCCUCCAACUCCAUAAUGGAUUUAGUGAGAUGUCCCCAGGCAGUGUGAAUUUCGAUAAGUUGCAUGUUGAUCUGAAAAACAUGUUGUGUAAGUUUUGCAAUCUUCUGUUCUUGAAGAGCAAAACAGUACUCGAGCUGAUGAGUUUCCCAUGGACUGUAGUUUCUACCACGAGUUCUUUCGUUUCUUCGAACCAUGAUACCCUACACACUUAUGAAGAGAAGUUAGAUAUGUGGGAAUCAUUGUUUGAAACACUGUAUUUAUAGAGGAAUGAAACUAAGGGUUAAGGUACCAAGGAGUCACGUCUUGAUUAGAGGAGUGGCCUCUUCAAGAUGUUGAAAGGAGUGUUUGUUUGUUUUUGAAAUAUUUUUUAAGAAACGAAAGGACUGCAGAUAGUGGGUACAUGGAAUUUGAAAGAGGUUUUCCUCAGCCUUAGUGUAUUGAUUUAAUGAGAAACC